This 64-nucleotide transfer RNA is filed under the name Scolytinae sp. BMNH 1040351. RNAcentral describes it as "tRNA-His". The record is from RNAcentral. Lineage: Eukaryota; Metazoa; Arthropoda; Insecta; Coleoptera; Curculionidae.
GUCAAAAUAGUUUAAUUAAAAUUUUAACUUGUGGAGUUAGGGAUGUGAAGUUUCACUUUUGGCA